RNAcentral lists this ribosomal RNA (519 nucleotides) under Triticum aestivum (bread wheat). Its description in RNAcentral is "partial small subunit ribosomal RNA". Lineage: Eukaryota; Viridiplantae; Streptophyta; Magnoliopsida; Poales; Poaceae. The record is from RNAcentral.
AUGCAACGGAGGGCGGAGGCUCGCCGCCUAAAAAAAUUAAAAGGCGCCCGCCGGCACCACAGGGCCUCCCACUUCGGCCACCGCUGGCUGUCCACCGCACCAUCUACCGCCUGGAUGCGUCCACCUCUGACGUCGGUCGGCACCGCACACACCAGCUGCUCGAGCCCGCAGCCAUUGCGUCGACCUCACGCCGCCUCGCCCAGGGUUCCGCCUUCCUCACGGAUGCGGCAUCCGCGAUCCUGCAUUCCUGCUUCACCUCGGCUGCUUACAUCGAAGAUGAAGGCCGGCGCUACGCUGAAAGGGGCACGGGGAGCCGGCGGCAUGGUCGGAAGGACGGGCGAGGUCUUGCACCACCAGAAUAGCGUCAGCAGCAGAGCCCUACCACGGCCAGCAACCAGCUACUGCUCCACUGGCUCCUGCGCCCGGGCACGUCGCAAGAGAGAUGGAUCGGUUGAUAUUCACAUUCGUGAGCAUGGCGGCGGGAGAGGAAGCCGUCUACCACGACAACGACGGAGAUGA